Molecule: long non-coding RNA, 494 nt
Filed under: Betta splendens (Siamese fighting fish)
Lineage: Eukaryota; Metazoa; Chordata; Actinopteri; Anabantiformes; Osphronemidae
Description: lncRNA (ENSBSLG00000026080.1)
Source: RNAcentral
CACACAUUAGCAUAGUGGAAUGACUAACGUGGCUGCAGGUUCCCGCUGCCGAGGCAGAGGCUGGCGAGCCGCCAGGGGGACGGCGCGCGCUGGCAGACGGCGCCACAUCAAUAUCCCAACUAGCCACCAGAGCCCGACUCAAACGGUCGGGGACUUUAAAGGUAGCAGCUGAGGCCCGAGAGGUGCCGCUCGCUCCCCGAGGAGCCGGCUGGCUCGCGGUCAGAGGCCCUUUGAGCUGCCAAGUCAACUGAGGCCGCCCCCCCCCCCCCCCCCCCCCCCCCCCCCCCCCCACUGUGCGCUCCUGCACCGGGGCUGCCGGGAUGCUGGCGCGGGCCCAUUGAUUUACUGCCGUUGGCUAGGACACUCUCCAAGGAGCUCCCAUCCUGGCUGGAAUAGCGUUUAUUUGGGACACAUUUGGCAACGCCGGCAUCUUGGCCCUCUUUGAAAUGCGUCGUCCAGAGACGAAAUAAAUGAACGGUAUCAAAGAUGUGUCA